AAUAUUCAGAGGCACUCUGCAGCCCACAGGGUAAGACCCAAACUCCAACCUGAUGCGUGAGCCCUUGAUGCCAGGUGCCUGAGCACCUUUGCUGCCUGUGUCUACUGAGCCUCUGCCCCUGCACCCAGCCACCUUCACACACACACUCCUGCUGUGCAGCACCUGCCUCUGGAAUUGGCUCAGGGAAGUCCAAGCUCAAGGCACCCUUGCCGAAUGACUCGCUCUCACCUUCCUCAGACCAAAAUCUACCUGAGUCUGAGUUCUCCAGAGAAACUGAGAGAGAGAGAGAGAGAUAUUGAUUUCAGGGAGUUAUUUCACUCCCUCGUGGGGCUGGGAGAUCUGAAGUCUGAAGACCAGCAGGCUGGAAACUCAGGUAAGGUCGAUGUUGAGUCCAAAGGCAGUGGGAGGCAGAAUCUGCCUGUGGCUCACCGUGCCGCUCUUCCCUGUCUGCUGGGAAGGGAGGAGGCUGUCGUCACCUCCAUGGCCACCUUUUUUCCAUCUCAGCCUUGAGGACCAUUGUCUUAUCUCUACUUAUUUUACUGGGAGCUCAUCAGAAUUUUCAACAUCAGGACCUUAAAAUAGAAGUUCUUUCCCUUUCUCCCUGUGCCCCUCCUCCUCCUCCCUCCCACCAGUACCUGUUUCCAGCUCCCUGGAGGCUGCAACGCCCCUCUGCCCUGGCUUUGACCCUCAUUUCACUCACCUGGGCCUGACUGUCAAGAGGCUCUAGAUCUCUAGAUCUCUACUGGGCCAGAGAUCUGACCUCAGCACAGCCCCCUCACCAAUGCCAGUCCCGGGUUCUCCCACUUCCCACUCUCCCUGCCUUCCCUCCCUGAAUGCUGAAUUUUACUGGGACGUCAUAAAAAUGCAGAAAGCGACAAGGCCAAGAAGAAACUAUGUUAACACCUAGCAGAAUUUUGAGAUACCCCGCCUCUUGUUCCUUCUUGAGGCCAGACGAGGACCCGACGGUCUGAAUAAAGCAGAAGAAUGGAUGAGAAGAUUGUGACGGGCUUUUCUCCUCGGCGUCUUCCUGACAGCUCAUACCCCGAUUCUUGUUCUCAUUUUAUUCUCUCUUUCUUUCACUUUUCCAGCUCUGCCCCCGUCUUUGCCACUAAAUCUGCAGCGUCUAUUGCUGGCCAUGCUCUCCCCACUCCAGACACCUUUCGGCCUGCAUUGAGGAGAGAGGCACUGGCCCUGACUGGGGGCUUCCACGUGUGCAGGGGGCCGCCCGCGGUGAGGUCUCUGCAGCAUGACGGGGCUGGAAGCCGGCAGCUUUGUUGUGGUUUUCUAUACAUCUUGUGUUUGGCAGCAGCCAGGCCUUUUCCCCAGCAGUCAAGCCCACGGCCUCCCCACCUCCCACGGCUGCUGGUGCCCAAGUUUGGGAGCCUCUCCAGGUUCUUCAGAGAGCAGAGCUUGAUUUCCAACAGCCCCCGUUUCCCCAGGUGCUUGGACUUCAGCCUUCAGCUCCACGCACCAUCUUUCAGAACUACGUUGGCAACUUUACCUGAUUUUUUUUUUGUUUUUUUUUUUGUGUAUUUACAACAUUUUAUUCCUUUAGUUUUCAUUUUAGAGAGGAUUAGGAGAGAGAAGGAAUGA
Macaca mulatta (Rhesus monkey) is the source of this 1593-nucleotide long non-coding RNA. NCBI's taxonomy places the organism in Eukaryota, Metazoa, Chordata, Mammalia, Primates, Cercopithecidae. The record is from Ensembl.